GGCUAGGACGAACGCUGGCGGCGUGCCUAACACAUGCAAGUCGAACGAAGCAUAGUAAUAUGCUUAGUGGCGGACGGGUGAGUAACGCGUGAACAAUCUGCCCUAUACAAAGGAAUAGCCUCGGGAAACUGGGAUUAAAACCAUAUAACACUUUAGUACCGCAUGGUACAGAAGUCAAAUUGAUUAAGAGGUAUAGGAUGAGUUCGCGUCUGAUUAGCUAGUUGGUAAGGUAAUGGCUUACCAAGGCGACGAUCAGUAGCCGGCCUGAGAGGGUGAACGGCCACACUGGAACUGAGACACGGUCCAGACUCCUACGGGAGGCAGCAGUGGGGAAUAUUGCACAAUGGAGGAAACUCUGAUGCCAGCGACGCCGCGUGAGUGAAGAAGGUCUUCGGAUCGUAAAACUCUGUCCUUGGUGAAGAUAAUGACGGUAGCCAAGGAGGAAGCCCCGGCUAACUACGUGCCAGCCGCUGC
Molecule: ribosomal RNA, 474 nt
Filed under: uncultured bacterium
Lineage: Bacteria
Description: bacterial SSU rRNA
Rfam family: Bacterial small subunit ribosomal RNA
Source: RNAcentral